GCUAGCGGCAGCUUAACACAUGCAAGUCGAACGGUAACUCUUAGUGCUUGCACUAAAAGACGAGUGGCGGACGGGUGCGUAACGCGUAUGUAAUCUACCUUUUACUAGGGAAUAGCCCAGAGAAAUUUGGAUUAAUCCCCUAUAAUAUCAAAAUUUCGCAUGAUUUUUUGAUUAAAGUUUCGACGGUAAAAGAUGAGCAUGCGUCCUAUUAGUUUGUAGGUGAGGUAACAGCUCACCUAGACUACGAUAGGUAGGGGCCCUGAGAGGGGGAUCCCCCACACUGGUACUGAGACACGGACCAGACUCCUACGGGAGGCAGCAGUGAGGAAUAUUGGACAAUGGACGAAAGUCUGAUCCAGCUAUGCCGCGUGCAGGAUGACAGCCCUACGGGUUGUAAACUGCUUUUAUACAGGAAGAAAAACUCCGACGUGUCGGGGCUUGACGGUACUGUAAGAAUAAGGAUCGGCUAACUCCGUGCCAGCAGCCGCGGUAAUACGGAGGAUCCAAGCGUUAUCCGGAAUUAUUGGGUUUAAAGGGUCCGCAGGCGGUUUUUUAAGUCAGAGGUGAAAUCCUACAGCUCAACUGUAGAAUUGCCUUUGAUACUGAAAGACUUGAGUUAUUGUGAAGUGGUUAGAAUGUGUGGUGUAGCGGUGAAAUGCAUAGAUAUCACACAGAAUACCAAUUGCGAAGGCAGAUCACUAACAAUUAACUGACGCUCAGGGACGAAAGCGUGGGUAGCGAACAGGAUUAGAUACCCUGGUAGUCCACGCCGUAAACGAUGGAUACUAGCUGUAUGUCUACCUCAGGUAGAUGUGUGGCCAAGCGAAAGUGAUAAGUAUCCCACCUGGGGAGUACGAU
This 858-nucleotide ribosomal RNA is filed under the name uncultured Flavobacteriaceae bacterium. Its description in RNAcentral is "bacterial SSU rRNA". It matches the Rfam family "Bacterial small subunit ribosomal RNA", at positions 35 to 886 of the family's 1533-position model. Lineage: Bacteria; Pseudomonadati; Bacteroidota; Flavobacteriia; Flavobacteriales; Flavobacteriaceae. The record is from RNAcentral.